GAUGAACGCUGGCGGCGUGCCUAAUACAUGCAAGUCGAGCGAACAGACGAGGAGCUUGCUCCUCUGACGUUAGCGGCGGACGGGUGAGUAACACGUGGAUAACCUACCUAUAAGACUGGGAUAACUUCGGGAAACCGGAGCUAAUACCGGAUAAUAUAUUGAACCGCAUGGUUCAAUAGUGAAAGACGGUUUUGCUGUCACUUAUAGAUGGAUCCGCGCCGCAUUAGCUAGUUGGUAAGGUAACGGCUUACCAAGGCAACGAUGCGUAGCCGACCUGAGAGAGUGAUCGGCCACACUGGAACUGAGACACGGUCCAGACUCCUAAGGGAGGCAGCAGUAGGGAAUCUUCCGCAAUGGGCGAAAGCUUGACGGAGCAACGCCGCGUGAGUGAUGAAGGUCUUCGGAUCGUAAAACUCUGUUAUUAGGGAAGAACAAAUGUGUAAGUAACUAUGCACGUCUUGACGGUACCUAAUCAGAAAGCCACGGCUAACUACGUG
This 497-nucleotide ribosomal RNA is filed under the name uncultured bacterium. RNAcentral describes it as "partial 16S ribosomal RNA". It matches the Rfam family "Bacterial small subunit ribosomal RNA", at positions 28 to 507 of the family's 1533-position model. The record is from RNAcentral.